RNAcentral lists this ribosomal RNA (362 nucleotides) under Gigaspora sp. j11gig. RNAcentral describes it as "eukaryotic LSU rRNA". It matches the Rfam family "Eukaryotic large subunit ribosomal RNA", at positions 200 to 527 of the family's 3401-position model. The record is from RNAcentral. Lineage: Eukaryota; Fungi; Glomeromycota; Glomeromycetes; Diversisporales; Gigasporaceae.
GGUACAUAGAGGGUGAGAAUCCCGUGCAUGAUCAGACCAAAAUACUUAAUAUUCGUUUUCUAAAGAGUCGAAGUUGUUUUGGAAAUCAGCUCAAAAUGGGUGGUAGACUUCACCUAAGGCUAAAUAUCAGCGAGAGACCGAUAGCGAACAAGUACUGUGAAGGAAAGAUGAAAAGAACUUUGAAAAGAGAGUUAAAUAGUACGUGAAAUUGUUGAAAGGGAAACGAUUGAAGUCAGUCAUGCUAGCGAAAAAUCAGUUUGACGGGUUUUGUAGUUCAGGAGUAGAGGCAGGGUCAAACCGUUUCUCUUUUGAACUUGGGAUUUGUUAGAUGUACUUUUUCUUUGGCAGGUUAGCGUCGAUUU